Molecule: non-coding RNA, 2796 nt
Organism: Malus domestica (apple)
Lineage: Eukaryota; Viridiplantae; Streptophyta; Magnoliopsida; Rosales; Rosaceae
Source: RefSeq, a predicted model, not a curated record
AUCUUUGGCGAGAAGAAAACGAGAAGUCAAUCUAAUUUCUUAUUCGCUAAGCCAAGAGCAAUAUAUAAAACACACACAAACAACGUAUUCUUCUCUGCGUUUCACAGAGAGAGAGAGAGGCGGUGAUAGCGGCUGACGGGUACGCUUGGGGCUUGGGGUUCCGGCAUAACAUCCGAUUUUCUCGUUCCUGAGCGGUUCUGUAAUUGUAUAGGGUUAGGGUUUUACUAUUGGUUCUCGGAUUUUGGAGCACACUGGUUGGUUGUUUCUUCUGCAGCUAUGGGGUCGUCGACCAAGGUCAUCAAGGUUCAAUAUGCGGAAACACUGAGGCGUUUCAAUGCUAGUGUCAAUGAGAACAAUCAACUGGAUCUUGACAUGGUUGGAUUGCGAGAAAAGAUCUUGAGUCUUUUCAAUCUCCGCCCUGAUGCUGACAUUACUAUGACGUACAUUGAUGAAGAUGGUGAUGAAGUGACUCUUGUUGAUGAUGGUGAUCUGCAUGACACGAUGAGGCAGAAGCUCAAAUUCUUGAAGAUAUUUGUACAGAUUAACAAGGAUAAAUCUGCCAAGUCAAGUGGAGGUUCUACUCCUUUGAGGUCCCCUCAAGGUCCACCUCCAGUACCAAAUUUUGAUGCUGGUGCGGCACUGAAGUCCCUGCCAGAGCCAUUUCGGGAAUUUGCUUCUAAGUUUCCUCUUGAAUUGGCUUCAAAAUCUGCAUCAUCCAGUCCGGUGUUUGCGGAGCUUGUUGACUGGUUUUCAAAGAUGGGCCUAUCGUACUUGAUUCCAGAUGCCCAGGUUCAGACCGCUGGAGAUUCAAGCAAGCAGAGCGGCGCCUCUGGGAGUGCCGUUGCUCCAUCAGCUGCUGGUAAUUCAAAUGAUCUGAAGGGUGAUGGCAAGUCAAAACCCAUCUUAAAGUCUGCAGCUGAGGAAUCAAGCACCAAAAAAGGUCAGGCAACGGAUUCUGUGAAUGUGACCAAGGAUGUGGGGAUGUCUGCUCCACCUCUUCAUGCAACUGUUGAUCUCAAUUUCCUUCCUACUGAUUCUAAUCUAUCAGGAUCCACGCCUGUAAAUGGUGCACCAGCUGGAUCAAGUUUUCACACCAGUGAGGCAAGGAAGGAGUCUAAGGAGCUUCCCAAUGGUCUUCUCAAUAUUCAAAAGAAACUUCACAGCAAGAAGCCUUUUGGUUGUGAGACUCCCAUUGCAAAUGACUCAGCUACUCCUGCUGCCUCUCGGCGUAUUCCUUUCAAAAGAAAUCACUCCAAAGCGAUGGGUGGAAUGUUCCACACAGGUGUUCAGUGUGAUGGCUGUGAUUGUCAUCCAAUUGUUGGACCUCGAUUCAAGUCAAUAGUGAAAGAAAAUUAUGACCUCUGUCAGAUUUGUUUUGCAAGUAAGGGUAGUGCGACUGAUUACGUUAGGAUUGACCGCCCUAUCUCUUAUCGUCAUCCACAGCCCUUCAAGGGGUUGUAUGAGCAAGUCCUCCAUGGGUCGGCCCCCCAGUUAUGCCAAAAAUCUUGAGGUUUAAGUAUGAACCCAGGCCACCCUAAGCUUGAUAGCCACUUUGUAUUGGAUGUCAAUGUAAUGGAUGGUACAUUAAUAGCCCCCAUCUACUCCAUUUACCAAAAUAUGGCGGAUGCGCAACAACGGUAGUAUGGUGUGGCCUCAAGGAACAACACUUGUGUGGAUUGGGGGUGACAGAUUUAGCAAUUCAGAUUCAGUCGAGAUAGAGAUUCCUGCGGAUGGUGUGCCGGCUGAAAAUGAACUCGAUAUUGCCGUUGAUUUUACUGCCCCCGAUUCACCUGGUCACUACAUCUCACACUGGAGGAUGGCAACCCCGUCUGGCCAAAAGUUUGGUCAACGUGUUUGGGUUCUGAUCCAGGUUGAUGCUUCCUUGAAGGAUUCAUUCUUUGAGAGCUUUCAAGGUCUGAACUUGAAUUUGCCCCCAAAAGAAUAUGAAAAAAUGGAUGUGAACGUUCAACCAGCUGCUGUCAGUGACCUUCUCCAGCCUUCUGCUUCUACCCCACUCAAGGAACCGGUGAAGCCCGUGCCUACUGAACAGCCUGGACAUGACCAGGAGCUCCACUUCCCCAUCAACGAUAGCUUGCUGGUUGGCCACAGUGCCUCUGCCCCUACUGAGCCACAGGGUCCUUCAACUGUGUCGUAUCCCACUGUUGAGCCACAGGGUUCAACUGUGUCGUAUCCCACUGUUGAGCCACAGGGUUCGACUGUGUCGUAUCCCAUGGUUGAUAUCUAUGAAUCAGCCCCACCCUCCCCCAAAUCACCACCUGCUGUCAAUGCACCGGCAUCAUCUGAAGGGACCAGUUCAAACAAUGCUGUGGAAGAUACCAUGCUGAAGGAGCUCGAGGCGAUGGGGUUUAAGCAGGUCAAUUUGAACAAGGAGAUUCUGCGUAGGAAUGACUACAACCUGGAGCAGUCUGUCGAAGAUCUCUGCGAGGUUUCGGACUGGGAUCCUAUCCUUGAGGAGCUGCAGGAAAUGGGUUUCUGUGAUACCGAAAUGAACAAGAAGCUGCUGGUGAAGAACAAUGGAAGCAUCAAGCGUGUGGUUAUGGAUCUGAUCAACGGGGAGCCGCUUUAGAUGGAAGACAACUACUUAUAAUCCCUGUUAAUAUAUGUGUGUGUUUGUGUUUGUGUCCGGAAUAAUGGACUGGCAUUUUGCCAUUUGCAAUAUGAUGCUUUGAUUGCUUUUGGGGACCAUGUGCAUUGCAUUCUUAGUAUAUAAUUAUUUAUUAAGUAAAUUGGUACUGAUAUCUAAGUUAUGGAUUUAAUAUAAUCUCAAGUUAUGUA